GAUGAACGCUGGCGGCGUGCCUAAUACAUGCAAGUCGAGCGAACAGAUGAGGAGCUUGCUCCUCUGACGUUAGCGGCGGACGGGUGAGUAACACGUGGAUAACCUACCUAUAAGACUGGGAUAACUUCGGGAAACCGGAGCUAAUACCGGAUAAUAUAUUGAACCGCAUGGUUCAUUAGUGAAAGACGGUCUUGCUGUCACUUAUAGAUGGAUCCGCGCCGCAUUAGCUAGUUGGUAAGGUAACGGCUUACCAAGGCAACGAUGCGUAGCCGACCUGAGAGGGUGAUCGGCCACACUGGAACUGAGACACGGUCCAGACUCCUACGGGAGGCAGCAGUAGGGAAUCUUCCGCAAUGGGCGAAAGCCUGACGGAGCAACGCCGCGUGAGUGAUGAAGGUCUUCGGAUCGUAAAACUCUGUUAUUAGGGAAGAACAAAUGUGUAAGUAACUAUGCACGUCUUGACGGUACCUAAUCAGAAAGCCACGGCUAACUACGUG
This 497-nucleotide ribosomal RNA is filed under the name uncultured bacterium. Its description in RNAcentral is "partial 16S ribosomal RNA". It matches the Rfam family "Bacterial small subunit ribosomal RNA", at positions 28 to 507 of the family's 1533-position model. The record is from RNAcentral.